UCAAUCUGCUCCAUGAUAAUUUAAAUAGCUGCAGUAUUUUGACUGUACAAAGGUAGCAUAAUCAAUAGUUUUUUAAUUAGAAGCUGGAAUGAAAGAUUUAAUAAGGUAAAUGUUGUCUCAAAUUUAAUAAAAUUAGAAUUUUUUUCUUAGUUAAAAUACUAAGAUAAAUUUAAAAGACGAGAAGACCCUAUAGAUUUUUAUAAUUUUAUUAAAUUAAAAAAUUAAAUGUUAAUAUAAUUAAAAUUAUUUGAUUGGGGUAAUUAUUAAAUAAAUUAAAUUUUAAAUUAAUUUAAAACAAUAAUAAUUGAUUAAAUGAUCCAGUAAUAUAUAUAUAUAUAUAUAUAUAUAUAUAUUGAUUAAGAGAAUAAAAUACCUUAGGGAUAACAGCGUAAUUUUUUUGAAGAGAUCCUAUUGAUAAAAAAGUUUGCGACCUCGAUGUUGAAUUAAGAUAAAAUUUUAAUGUAGAAGUAAAAAA
RNAcentral lists this ribosomal RNA (475 nucleotides) under Lymeon bicinctus. Its description in RNAcentral is "partial 16S large subunit ribosomal RNA". Lineage: Eukaryota; Metazoa; Arthropoda; Insecta; Hymenoptera; Ichneumonidae. The record is from RNAcentral.